ACCGCCCGGCGGCCGUCCGAGGAAGACAACUGGGGCCGGGAAGUGGAUCGGGGGGCCGCAACCUGGGAACGCGGCGGCUGCUGCGUUUGCACGAUCCGUUCUAGGCGGAGAACCCUGGGGCUUCGGCAGCGGGAUUCUGUGUUAGGCGAACCUGGGGGCUUGGAGCCUUCCGGAGUGUGUUCGAACCUCGACUUUUUUUUUUUUAACUGGUGGUGUGAUGUUGGGCAAAGCUCUGACUGAAUUCCGCUCUUCUUACUGUAAAUGAUGUAUGUGUGUGAGGAAUAAGCGAGAUUACACGUUGCUGUGUUAAAACUGCCACGGUUGCUUCUGAAUGAGCUACGGGCGACUGACACAUUCAUUGAAAUGUUCUUUCCCGCCCCGUAACCUGAAUCUUUCCUUAGUCUGCACGGGAAGGGGAAGUGCGAGAGCUUUUGGCUGAAAAUGAAAUUGCAGAUGUCAAGCGCUUAGUACGUAGUGCUGGAACCGGCAGACAGGGCCACAGAGAGGCAAAAAUAUCAAUAUGAUUCCCCUCAUCUGUGAGCAAUGAGAGUAACUGCCGUGCUGGGAGGAAAGGUUUAACGGAGAUCGCGUGUAAGCCUGGUCUGCAGGAAUUUCACGAGCUCGUUUCUGCCUCGUGGGACCGUGAAAUGAUACGUGACUGUGGAGGGAAACGUAAUUUUUCUCGUGGAAGGAUAGCGAAAUCUACAUAUCUUUCAAUGAGCCUGCUUUCUUUAAGCUUCAGUUGUGAAAUCAGCCCACUGGGCAGUGACUGAGCUCUUGAGUUCCCGUCCUGAGUCUUAGCAGAGAAAACAAUUAUGAAAACUUUUUAUUUUUGUCUAUUGGGUAAAAUGUGUUUUUUUACAGUCUUCUAUCCGCAAGCCACUAUGGAGAAGUGGAGCAGGCCUUUUUUUUUUUUUUUUUUUUUUGAAGCUCUUAAAUCCUGACCCUCACAGUGUGAAACCAUAGUUACUUUACCUUUGGAACCUGUUUACUCAUCUAUCAAAAAGAAAUAGCAGUACCUACUUUUCAGGCUUGUAGUGGGAAUUAGAGAUAACAUUAAAAACACUCUUCUGGUUAUCUUUUGCUGUUUAACAAACAAUCCCAGAAUUCAGUGGCUUAAACCAACAUUUACUUUACACCAAAUCUGCAAUUUGGGGUGGUUCUAGCUGGGACAGCUGGUCUCUACUCCCUUCGGCUUCAGCUGUAAGGUUGGGCACUGCUACUGCUGCUGCUAAGUCGCUUCAGUCGUAUCCAACUCUCUGCGACCCCAUAGACGGCCGCCCACCAGGCUCCCCGUCCCUGGGAUUCUCCAGGCAAGAACACUGGAGUGGGUUGCCAUUUCUUUCUCCAAUGCAUGAAAGUGAAAAGUGAAAGUGAAGUCGCUCAGUCGUGUCCAACUCUUAGGGACCUCAUGGACUGCAGCCUACCAGGCUCCUCCGUCCAUGGGAUUUUCGAGCCAAGAGGCAUGUGAGAUCUUCGCUCCACAACCAGGGAUUGAACCACUAACCUCUGCAUUGGAAGGCAAAGUAGUAACCACUGGACAACCAGAGACGUCCCCACAUCCCACAUUCUAGUCUUUAGAUAGGAGUCACUAAGCCAGGCCUGUAUUUAAGGGAAGAGGACUUAGACUACACCUUUAUAUAGGAAGAGUGUCACAGAAUUUGCAGGCAUAUUACAAGUCAUAUAUGAAAUGUGCUCCAGGCACGGUAGCUAUUAUGCUAGAGGCCUGGUCCUCUGAUCUAUCCUAGUGAGAAUGUACUCUUCCUCCCCCGGGCUCUUCUUUAAUGUAUUGUAGAAUCUUGUUCAAUUUACUUUUUACCUCUCAGAGCCUUAAUUUAUCCUUAUUAAAGGAGACAAUUAUUACCUA
This is a long non-coding RNA of Bos taurus (domestic cattle), 1867 nucleotides long. The record is from Ensembl. NCBI's taxonomy places the organism in Eukaryota, Metazoa, Chordata, Mammalia, Artiodactyla, Bovidae.